Long non-coding RNA from Mobula hypostoma (lesser devil ray), 312 nucleotides. RefSeq lists it as uncharacterized. Lineage: Eukaryota; Metazoa; Chordata; Chondrichthyes; Myliobatiformes; Myliobatidae. The transcript has 3 exons. The record is from RefSeq and is a predicted model, not a curated record.
GGAGAAACGAUCAGGAACACAACAAAGUUGGUUAAAACUUUGUUAAUUAAUAGGGACAAAUGAAUGUACUGAUUAAACAAUAGCACCAUUUGGAACAUGUAGGAGGAAGAAAUUAUCGAACAAUUCGUAAAGCGAGGAGAACAUGGGAAGAUACAGCAACUGCAAGAUCUGCUGCAGGUUGUGACUGAUACAGUAUUGAUUAAGAACUUAUCUGAGGUGGAAGAGCUGUGGUUCUGGUGGACAACUACUGAGGUGAGACAGUGAUGCCAAUGUCAACGUGGCUCAGCAUCUUCAGCAGAGCUUAUUAGCAUG